RNAcentral lists this long non-coding RNA (420 nucleotides) under Gallus gallus (chicken). The record is from RNAcentral. Lineage: Eukaryota; Metazoa; Chordata; Aves; Galliformes; Phasianidae.
CGAGGCGAGGAAGAGGAAGAAGACGAAGGCCAAAAGCGGCGGGGGGGGGCUGAAGAAAUCCAAAGCCGACAGCUGCGGGCAGAGCGGGACCCCCCCCCAGCAAAGCGCUUCGAGAGCCGGAGGUCCCGUAGAGACUCAUUGGUCGGGUUCGGAGAAAUCGGGGGGCAGCCCGAAACCCCCCAGCCCUAAAACGGCCCCCCCGGGAAGCAAAGGGACGGCGGCGGCGGCGACCGAAAGCGAAGUGACUCCGGAUUCGCAGACGGUGGACAGCAGCUGUAAAACCCCCGACGUGUCCUUCCUCGAGGAGGAGGAGGAGGAGUCGUCGGGGGGGGGCGGAAAGAGAAGCGCCCCCUUCCCCCCCAGCGCCGCCCCGCGUGGGAACCCGAAGCCGACAGCCGCAGUGGGGGAGAAGGAGGGCCC